CAUGCAGUCGACGCUUUGUGGUUCAACUGAUUUGAAGAGCUUGCUCAGAUAUGACGAUGGACAUUGCAAAGAGUGGCGAACGGGUGAGUAACACGUGGGAAACCUACCUCUUAGCAGGGGAUAACAUUUGGAAACAGAUGCUAAUACCGUAUAACAAUGACAACCGCAUGGUUGUUAUUUAAAAGAUGGUUCUGCUAUCACUAAGAGAUGGUCCCGCGGUGCAUUAGCUAGUUGGUAAGGUAAUGGCUUACCAAGGCGAUGAUGCAUAGCCGAGUUGAGAGACUGAUCGGCCACAAUGGGACUGAGACACGGCCCAUACUCCUACGGGAGGCAGCAGUAGGGAAUCUUCCACAAUGGGCGAAAGCCUGAUGGAGCAACGCCGCGUGUGUGAUGAAGGGUUUCGGCUCGUAAAACACUGUUGUAAGAGAAGAAUGACAUUGAGAGUAACUGUUCAAUGUGUGACGGUAUCUUACCAGAAAGGAACGGCUAAAUACGUGCCAGCAGCCGCGGUAAUACGUAUGUUCCAAGCGUUAUCCGGAUUUAUUGGGCGUAAAGCGAGCGCAGACGGUUAUUUAAGUCUGAAGUGAAAGCCCUCAGCUCAACUGAGGAAUUGCUUUGGAAACUGGAUGACUUGAGUGCAGUAGAGGAAAGUGGAACUCCAUGUGUAGCGGUGAAAUGCGUAGAUAUAUGGAAAAACCACCAGUGGCGAAGGCGGCUUUCUGGACUGUAACUGACGUUGAGGCUCGAAGUGUGGGUACCAACAAGAUUACAUACCCUGGUAGUCCCACCCGUAACGAAGA
This 800-nucleotide ribosomal RNA is filed under the name Weissella confusa. RNAcentral's name for it is "bacterial SSU rRNA". It matches the Rfam family "Bacterial small subunit ribosomal RNA", at positions 54 to 812 of the family's 1533-position model. The record is from RNAcentral. Lineage: Bacteria; Bacillati; Bacillota; Bacilli; Lactobacillales; Lactobacillaceae.